RNAcentral lists this ribosomal RNA (392 nucleotides) under uncultured bacterium. RNAcentral's name for it is "bacterial SSU rRNA". It matches the Rfam family "Bacterial small subunit ribosomal RNA", at positions 28 to 410 of the family's 1533-position model. The record is from RNAcentral.
GACGAACGCUGGCGGCGUGCUUAACACAUGCAAGUCGAGGGCAUUUGGGUCGCAAGGCUCAGGUGACCGGCGAACGGGUGCGUAACACGUGAGCGACCUGCCGUCCCUGUGGGGGAUAGCCGGCCCAACGGCCGGGUAAUACCGCAUACGAUCGUUUGGGGGCAUCCCUGGGCGACGAAAGCUUGGCGCAAGUCAGGCGCAGGACGAGGGGCUCGCGGCCUAUCAGCUCGUUGGCGGGGUAACGGCCCACCAAGGCGACGACGGGUAGCUGGUCUGAGAGGAUGGCCAGCCACAUUGGGACUGAGAGACGGCCCAGACUCCUACGGGAGGCAGCAGUGGGGAAUCUUGCGCAAUGGCCGCAAGGCUGACGCAGCGACGCCGCGUGUGGGAGG